GUGAAUCAUCAAAUUUUUGAACGCAAAUUGCACUCUCUUCGGAGAGUAUGCCUGUUUGAGUGUCAGCCUAAAAAAAAAUCGACGUAGUCGCUGUUUCGCGGUGACAUUCGUCGGAAAUUGGGUCAUCUUAAACCUUUGGGUCUUUUAAGCGGCUUAAAAUUUUCUUUACGAAUCCACGAACGUUUCUAAGAUUUUACUUCUUACACACGUUUAAGUUAUCGUUCUUUAUUAGACUUGGCCGUUGCAUCGUAUUGCGUUCAUAAAUAUUUCUUUAA
RNAcentral lists this unclassified non-coding RNA (275 nucleotides) under Glomus sp. RNAcentral's name for it is "partial contains 5.8S ribosomal RNA and internal transcribed spacer 2". The stretch from base 1 to 65 matches the Rfam family "5.8S ribosomal RNA", at positions 84 to 154 of the family's 154-position model. Lineage: Eukaryota; Fungi; Glomeromycota; Glomeromycetes; Glomerales; Glomeraceae. The record is from RNAcentral.